AUGGUCAGCCCGAUCUACAAAAGUGGCGGGUUUGGAUUUGCUUUCCCGGUGGGAUCUCCGCUGGUGGCGGACGUGUUGCGCGCCAUCCUGGAGAUGCAAGAGGACGGCAUGCUUACACGCAUCGAGAACAAGUGGUUCAGCCACCCCGGAGCGUGCGUGAGGAUGAGCAAGGACGUCGACAACACUAGGCUCGAGCUAUGGAGAUUCCGUGGACUGUUCCUCGUCAACGCAGCCGUCUCGUGCCUCAUGCUCCUCAUCCACCUCGCCACCUUCGUCUCCUGGAAGCGCGUAUGCCGAUGGCUGCGCUUGGACGCCUUCGAAGGUCGGCGAGGCGAGCCCAUGGGCAACGGCCAGGGAACGGUGGAGCUGAGUCGCCUGCAGGGUCUGGCCACCGGAGCCGAAGAUCAGCAGCAAGGAGCCAUGGGGGACUCUCACUCUACUCCCGCGGAUGGCACCGAUUCCGAGAGAAACGCAGCUUCUGCCCCUGUGCCAGAGGAACCCGAUGGGGUUACCUCUACAGCGCAGUCCUCCCAUGAACCUGCGCCAGCAUUGGCGUCCAUGUAG
Molecule: ribosomal RNA, 564 nt
Filed under: Triticum aestivum (bread wheat)
Lineage: Eukaryota; Viridiplantae; Streptophyta; Magnoliopsida; Poales; Poaceae
Description: partial small subunit ribosomal RNA
Source: RNAcentral